GCAUAUCAAUAAGCGGAGGAAAAGAAACCAACAGGGAUUGCCCUAGUAACGGCGAGUGAAGCGGCAACAGCUCAAAUUUGAAAUCUGGCGUCUUUGGCGUCCGAGUUGUAAUUUGCAGAGGGCGCUUUGGCAUUGGCAGCGGUCCAAGUUCCUUGGAACAGGACGUCACAGAGGGUGAGAAUCCCGUACGUGGUCGCUAGCCUUUACCGUGUAAAGCCCCUUCGACGAGUCGAGUUGUUUGGGAAUGCAGCUCUAAAUGGGAGGUAAAUUUCUUCUAAAGCUAAAUACUGGCCAGAGACCGAUAGCGCACAAGUAGAGUGAUCGAAAGAUGAAAAGCACUUUGGAAAGAGAGUUAAAAAGCACGUGAAAUUGUUGAAAGGGAAGCGCUUGCAGCCAGACUUGCCUGUAGUUGCUCAUCCGGGUUUUUACCCGGUGCACUCUUCUAUAGGCAGGCCAGCAUCAGUUUGGGCGGUUGGAUAAAGGUCUCUGUCACGUACCUCCUCUCGGGGAGAACUUAUAGGGGAGACGUAAUGCAACCAGCCUGGACUGAGGUCCGCGCAUCUGCUAGGAUGCUGGCGUAAUGGCUGUAAGCGGCCCGUCUUGAAACACGGACCAAGGAGUCUAACAUCUAUGCGAGUGUUUGGGUGUCAAGCCCGAGCGCGUAAUGAAAGUGAACGGAGGUGGGAACCUUUCGGGGUGCACCAUCGACCGAUCCUGAUGUCUUCGGAUGGAUUUGAGUAAGAGCAUAGCUGUUGGGACCCGAAAGAUGGUGAACUAUGCUUGAAUAGGGUGAAGCCAGAGGAAACUCUGGUGGAGGCUCGCAGCGGUUCUGACGUGCAAAUCGAUCGUCAAAUUUGGGCAUAGGGGCGAAAGACUAAUCGAACUAUCUAGUAGCUGGUUCUGCG
RNAcentral lists this ribosomal RNA (905 nucleotides) under Boeremia foveata. RNAcentral's name for it is "LSU rRNA". It matches the Rfam family "Eukaryotic large subunit ribosomal RNA", at positions 38 to 961 of the family's 3401-position model. Lineage: Eukaryota; Fungi; Ascomycota; Dothideomycetes; Pleosporales; Didymellaceae. The record is from RNAcentral.